CCGGUUGCUGUUUUCUGGUCAGACAGACGGAACCCACACGAGGUCCAGCCCGCCCACGCUAUCAGGUAUGCCAUCACAGUGUGGUAUUUUGAUGCUGAUGAGCGAGCCAGGGCUAAAGAGAAAUACCUAACAGGAGCUGGAGAGAAAGGAGUGAAGGUGGAACUGAACAAACCAUCAGACCCCAGCUAGUGAGAGAGGAGAGCGGAGAAAAAGAGAGAAGAGAGGAGGGGAGGAGACCAGAGGAGGGAGGGGAGAGAGGAGGAGACAGGAGGAGAGGGGAGAGGAGACACCCCAUCUACCAGCCAAGACCCCCCUCCAGCCAUGAAGUGCUAAUCCCUGAGAAAGGGAGAGGCCUAAACCAAGAGAGAGGGUGUAAGCGUAAGAGAGAGGAUUUCUUUACGUUUUCUGGAGCUCUACGGGUGGACUGAUUCCACAACUGACCUUGAAUGUCAUGACGUCACAGUACUGCAAGGAGAGACUGUCCCUUCUCUGCUUGUGGCCCAAAGGGGACCCUAUUUCCUACGUAGUGCACUAGUGACCAAAAAAUAGUUGCUCAAUGGAGAAUAUCCAUUGAACUAGCUUUUUAUUCCAGGACUAAGCUAUGGGCCCUGGUCAAAUGUAGUGCACUCUGUAGGGAUCACGGUUCCAUUUGGGACAGAGGCGGUGGCUUUUUGUUGAAGAGAAUGCUGAGAAAAAAGAAGCUGCCAUUUAGAGAACGCUUUGAGCUUCAGGAUCCAACUGACCCCUGAGAGACUGUUAUUCUGUUGUCUUUUACCAUGUUCUGGUAUUGAGCAUCAGGAUCCAACUGACCCGUGAGAGACUGUUAUUCUGUUGUCUUUUACCAUGUUCUGGUUUUGAGCUUCAGGAUCCAACUGACCCCUGAGAGACUCUGUUGUCUUUUACCAUGUUCUGGUUUUGAGCAUCAGGAUCCAACUGACCCCUGAGAGACUCUGUUGUCUUUUACCAUGUUCUGGUUUUGUGGUUGAUUCCUUAAAGGUACAGAGUCCAUACUGACGAACUCUGAGUUAACCGUAUUGCGAGUGCGUCUCGGAAGCAAGGCUUCUAAUUGGGACAGCUAACUUAGUUUUAAAAGGUUUAAGGGUUCAUUCAGAGUUCGUAAGUAUGGACCCACUGUGUUUUGCUUGUUGUGUUGAUGCUGUUUACAAGGAAUAAGCUGUUUUAAGCUUUUUGUUCAAUGAGCUUGUGGAGGUUUUUUAAUUAAAUGAGGAGAGAUCUCAAUUAAAAUAGUUUUUGGUAACAUGAGAGAUCUCAAUUAAAAUAGUUUUCGAUAACAUGAGGAGAGAUCUCAAUUAAAAAAGUUUUUGAUAACA
Oncorhynchus tshawytscha (Chinook salmon) is the source of this 1331-nucleotide long non-coding RNA. RefSeq lists it as uncharacterized. The transcript is spliced from 3 exons. Lineage: Eukaryota; Metazoa; Chordata; Actinopteri; Salmoniformes; Salmonidae. The record is from RefSeq and is a predicted model, not a curated record.